This 253-nucleotide ribosomal RNA is filed under the name uncultured bacterium. RNAcentral describes it as "partial 16S ribosomal RNA". It matches the Rfam family "Bacterial small subunit ribosomal RNA", at positions 524 to 776 of the family's 1533-position model. The record is from RNAcentral.
UACAGAGGUCCCGAGCGUUGUUCGGAUUUAUUGGGCGUAAAGGGUGCGUAGGCGGCGGAGUAAGUUGGGUGUGAAAUCCCGAGGCUCAACCUCGGAAUUGCAUUCAAUACUGCUUCGCUCGAGUACUGGAGAGGAGGCUGGAAUUUACGGUGUAGCAGUGAAAUGCGUAGAUAUCGUAAGGAAGGCCGGUGGCGAAAGCGAGCCUCUGGACAGUUACUGACGCUGAUGCACGGAGGCCAGGGGAGCAAACGGG